UGCCUCAAAGAGGGGGACAACAGUUGGAAACGACUGCUAAUACCGCAUAAGCCCACGACCCGGCAUCGGGUAGAGGGAAAAGGAGAAAUCCGCUUUGAGAUGGCCUCGCGUCCGAUUAGCUAGUUGGUGAGGUAACGGCCCACCAAGGCGACGAUCGGUAGCCGGACUGAGAGGUUGAACGGCCACAUUGGGACUGAGACACGGCCCAGACUCCUACGGGAGGCAGCAGUGGGGAAUAUUGCACAAUGGGGGAAACCCUGAUGCAGCGACGCCGCGUGGAGGAAGAAGGUCUUCGGAUUGUAAACUCCUGUUGUUGAGGAAGAUAAUGACGGUACUCAACAAGGAAGUGACGGCUAACUACGUGCCAGCAGCCGCGGUAAAACGUAGGUCACAAGCGUUGUCCGGAAUUACUGGGUGUAAAGGGAGCGCAGGCGGGAAGGCAAGUUGGAAGUGAAAUCCAUGGGCUCAACCCAUGAACUGCUUUCAAAACUGUUUUUCUUGAGUAGUGCAGAGGUAGGCGGAAUUCCCGGUGUAGCGGUGGAAUGCGUAGAUAUCGGGAGGAACACCAGUGGCGAAGGCGGCCUACUGGGCACCAACUGACGCUGAGGCUCGAAAGUGUGGGUAGCAAACAGGAUUAGAUACCCUGGUAGUCCACACUGUAAACGAUGAUUACUAGGUGUUGGAGGAUUGACUCCUUCAGUGCCGCAGUUAACACAAUAAGUAAUCCACCUGGGGAGUACGACCGCAAGGUUGAAACUCAAAGGAAUUGACGGGGGCCCGCACAAGCAGUGGAGUAUGUGGUUUAAUUCGACGCAACGCGAAGAACCUUACCAAGUCUUGACAUCCUGCGACGCACAUAGAAAUAUGUGUUUCCUUCGGGACGCAGAGACAGGUGGUGCAUGGUUGUCGUCAGCUCGUGUCGUGAGAUGUUGGGUUAAGUCCCGCAACGAGCGCAACCCUUAUGGUCAGUUACUACGCAAGAGGACUCUGGCCAGACUGCCGUUGACAAAACGGAGGAAGGUGGGGAUGACGUCAAAUCAUCAUGCCCUUUAUGACUUGGGCUCACACGUACUACAAUGGCGUUAAACAAAGAGAAGCAAGACCGCGAGGUGGAGCAAAACUCAGAAACAACGUCCCAGUUCGGACUGCAGGCUGCAACUCGCCUGCACGAAGUCGGAAUUGCUAGUAAUCGCAGAUCAGCAUGCUGCGGUGAAUACGUUCCCGGGCCUUGUACACACCGCCCGUCACACC
Molecule: ribosomal RNA, 1251 nt
Filed under: metagenome
Description: bacterial SSU rRNA
Rfam family: Bacterial small subunit ribosomal RNA
Source: RNAcentral